This 460-nucleotide ribosomal RNA is filed under the name uncultured bacterium. RNAcentral's name for it is "partial 16S ribosomal RNA". It matches the Rfam family "Bacterial small subunit ribosomal RNA", at positions 338 to 795 of the family's 1533-position model. The record is from RNAcentral.
CCUACGGGUGGCAGCAGUGAGGAAUAUUGGUCAAUGGGCGCGAGUCUGAACCAGCCAAGUAGCGUGCAGGAUGACUGCCCUACGGGUUGUAAACUUCUUUUAUAAAGGAAUAAAGUGAGUCACGUGUGCCUUUUUGUAUGUACUUUAUGAAUAAGGAUCGGCUAAUUCCGUGCCAGCAGCCGCGGUAAUACGGAGGAUCCGAGCGUUAUCCGGAUUUAUUGGGUUUAAAGGGAGCGUAGAUGGGUGGUUAAGAGAGUUGUGAAAGGUUGCGGCUCAACCGUAAAACUGCAAGUGAUACUGGCAGUCUUGAGUACAGUUGAGGUAGGCGGAAUUCGUGGUGUAGCGGUGAAAUGCUUAGAUAUCACGAAGAACUCCGAUUGCGAAGGCAGCUUACUAAACUGCCACUGACAUUGAUGCUCGAAAGUGUGGGUAUCAAACAGGAUUAGAUACCCCGGUAGUC